GGAGGACUAGCACUCUGUGACUUUGUGUCUAGCUCAAGGAUUGUAAAUGCACCAAUCAGCACUCUGUGUCUAGUUCAGGGUUUGUAAAUACACCAAUCAGCACUCUGUGUCUAGCGCAAGGUUUGUAAGUACACCAAUUGGUACUUUGUAUCUAGCUAACUCAGUAUCUAGCUAACUAGCACUCUGUGACUCUGUGUCUAGCUCAAGGAUUGUAAACGCACCAAUCAGCACUCUGUCAAAACGGACCAAUCAGCUUUCUGUAAAAUAGACCAAUGAGCAGGAUGUGGGUGGGGCCAGAUAAGGGAAUAAAAGCAGGCUGCCCAGCCUAGCCGCAGUAACCGACUCCUGUCUGCUUCCACAGUGUGCAAGCUUUUCUCUUUUGCUCUUUGUAUGGCUCUUGCUGCUACUCACCUUUUGGGUCCACGCUGCCUUUAAGCGCUGUAAGACUCACCAGGAAGGUCUGCAGCUUUACUCCUGACAGUGAGACCACGAACCCACCAGAAGGAAGAAGCUCCAGACACAUCUGAACAGUCUGAAGGAACAAACUCCGAACACACCAUCUUUAAGAACUGUAUAACACUCACCGGGAGGGUCCGCGGCUUCAUUCUUGAAGUCGGUGAGACCAAAAACCCAUCAAUUCCGGACACGAGGACUCCAUUGGUGCAAACGCAGUAUCAACAUUUCCAUGAUAACUUACAGGGAAAGAGUGACUCACCAAGAUGUGAUCAAUGCUUCUCAUUUCCUCUCCUGGAGAGUUUCUAAGAUAUUAGUUCUUUGUUUCUAAGAACUGGCUCUGCUUUACCAUAGCAAAAGGGUUAACACGUUUCAUGUCUCUUGUACCACUGAGGAUCAAAGUCUAAAGAGCAAUGGCGUGGAAACCCAGAAAGAGAAAUGGAGGGAAAGAUGAGAAGAAGGGAGGAUAUCUGAUACUGUCCCUGAGAGACCUCAUAGGAGACCCUGGCGCUGGAAUACAUGGCCCUCAAAGGGGCACCCUACAAAAGUCCAGAUGCCCCUAGAACUGACUCUGGCCCUGUGGUAAUCUGGAGACAACUUGCCUGAAUCCCAGGAGCCUGGAACAUCUUGCAAGCCUUAGGAUCCUGCCUGGCAAGCUGCCCAGGUGAGCAGACGUAAUGGUCCUUAGGUUUAAGUCCACACACUCCAAAUUAACAGCUUCACCUCGAUAGGAGUCCCUACCACCCCAGGCCUAAGGGACUUACCAGACGAAGUAGGAGCGUCUCCGGUACAUGACUUUGAAAUUGGACUGGGAGACCUACAGCUGGAAACAAGGAGGAAAAACACCCUGGCGACAAAGUCAAAAAGAACUCACUCCUAUUAAAAUGUGAUCUAGGAAUUUAAGCAAAACAUAGGUUCUUGACAAUGAGCACUGUCAGAUAUUAGAAUGCAUCAAAGAAAUGCAAAUUAUUUCUCCUGAGAAGUCUUUAAGAAAUAGAUUGCAGGGAUUAGUUUAAU
RNAcentral lists this long non-coding RNA (1470 nucleotides) under Macaca mulatta (Rhesus monkey). Its description in RNAcentral is "lncRNA (ENSMMUG00000059536.1)". The record is from RNAcentral. Lineage: Eukaryota; Metazoa; Chordata; Mammalia; Primates; Cercopithecidae.